UACGUAGGGUGCAAGCGUUAAUCGGAAUUACUGGGCGUAAAGCGUGCGCAGGCGGUUAUAUAAGACAGUUGUGAAAUCCCCGGGCUCAACCUGGGAACUGCAUCUGUGACUGUAUAGCUAGAGUACGGUAGAGGGGGAUGGAAUUCCACGUGUAGCAGUGAAAUGCGUAGAGAUGUGGAGGAAUACCGAUGGCGAAGGCAGCCUCCUGGGCCAACACUGACGCUCAUGCACGAAAGCGUGGGGAGCAAACAGG
This 253-nucleotide ribosomal RNA is filed under the name uncultured bacterium. Its description in RNAcentral is "partial 16S ribosomal RNA". It matches the Rfam family "Bacterial small subunit ribosomal RNA", at positions 524 to 776 of the family's 1533-position model. The record is from RNAcentral.